GGACUACCGGGGUAUCUAAUCCCGUUUGCUCCCCUGGCCUUCGUGCCUCAGCGUCAGUUACUGUCCAGGAACUCGCCUUCGCCACUGGCCUUCCUUACGAUCUCUACGCAUUUCACUGCUACACCGUAAAUUCCAGUUCCCUCUCCAGUACUCUAGCAAGGCAGUAUCCAAUGCAGUUCCGGGGUUGAGCCCCGGGAUUUCACAUCAGACUUGCCCCGCCGCCUACGCACCCUUUACGCCCAAUGAAUCCGAACAACGCUCGGGACCUCUGUAUUACCGCGGCUGCUGGCAC
This 292-nucleotide ribosomal RNA is filed under the name uncultured Verrucomicrobiota bacterium. RNAcentral describes it as "uncultured Verrucomicrobia bacterium partial 16S ribosomal RNA". The record is from RNAcentral. Lineage: Bacteria; Pseudomonadati; Verrucomicrobiota.